Lotus japonicus is the source of this 1630-nucleotide long non-coding RNA. RefSeq lists it as uncharacterized. The record is from RefSeq and is a predicted model, not a curated record. The transcript is spliced from 6 exons. NCBI's taxonomy places the organism in Eukaryota, Viridiplantae, Streptophyta, Magnoliopsida, Fabales, Fabaceae.
CACCCGCGUGAAACCGCCAAACCCUCAUUAUUCAUCUCACUGUUUCUCUCUCUCUGAUCACUCUCGUUGCGAUUUUCUUCAAUUCAAGAUUUCAGUUAUGGAUUCAGGGUCACCGCCGCCACCGUAUCCGAUGGCAAAUCCUUCGUCGUCGCCGGCAGCACAAUACCUUACUCCUCCUCGUAUAACACCGUCCACGACUCCCUCUACGCCGGCGGCACCGAAGAAGAAGAGGCGAGGUGUGGAUCGAUUGUUGAUGGCUGAGGCCAUCCUGUUUGGCGAGAUUGUGUUGGCGGAGUGCCGGAAGAAUGAGAUGACUGUGGAAGCCUUGGAGGCGGAAAGGAAGAAGAAAAUCCGCAUUCUCAUGUCAAUGCGCUAGUUCUUCUUCUCUAUUGGUAUUUGUUUCUCCGUAACUAAUAGUUUGAUUGUUUUGUUUCUUCUAUUCAGGGUUUCGUCGUCAUCGGAGGCGCAAUAGAGUUUGGUUCGGGUCCGGUCGGUCUUGAAAAGCUUCUUUGCUGAGAGAGUAUACAGGAGGUGGGGAUGUGCCAUUUCAAGGACUAUACUCAAGUAACAGAUCAAAAUUUAAAGGAGCUGACUUUGUACCCAUUGAUUCAUGUAUCCAUUUUCUCAGAAGGUUCAAUAUGAUUGAAUCAACUUCAUAGGGAACCAUCCCUCGCACAACUGUUUUUCUAUUAUCCUCACCCUUAGUAGAGUCUUCAACGACCAUUUGGUUCAAAACCUUUUCUAGGUUUUCAGCCCUCUGCAGUACCUCAACUGUUUUACAAGUCAGUGGGGUCACUUCACUUAAAUAUUGCCUCAACUCAUGGCCAUAGAAGUUGUGCAACAUCACGGUUGCAACUGUCCCAGCUGCUUGGUGCCAUUUCUUCAGCAAUGAUUCCUUUUCUUUCAUAGCAUCACUGGCCACCUUAGCCAACACAGCAUGUAAAACAUAAAGAAGAUCAGUUUCUACCUGCCCAAUUUCUAUGCACUGAAACACCCAAGUGAAGCACCCGUUGUGAAGUCUUCUUCAUCAGCUCAAGUAGCUCAUAAACUUCAUCAAGGACUGAUGCCUCGUACAUUUUGCUGCAUAGUACUUGCAUGGGACAAGUUCACGAGCUUCACCUCCUAGAGCAUGGAAAGAUGAAACAGUUCAUACUAUCACAAAGGGAAGAUGUAAUUGAGCGUUGAUUCAGUAUGGAGGAUCAAUGAGGAUAUUGGCAUCUAAGCUGAUUGGUUAACUACAAAUUUUUUGAAUGAUAUUAGAUUUUCUGGUAUUCCUGAUCACAAGCUAGUUUGCAAGGAAGGUGCCCCUGUUAUGCUCAUGAGAAAUCUUGACAUUUCUACUAAUUUGUGUAAUGGUACAAGACUUAUUAUCAACUAUCUUGGGCCAAAUGUCAUCAGUGCUAUUGUUAUUUCUGGCACACAUAUUGGCCAUAAAGUAUACAUUUAUAGGAUGAAUUAUAUGACCUCUUUAAUUGUAUCUUUUGUAAUGACUAUAAACAAGAUUCAAGGCCAAACUUUAUGGCAUAUUAGUGUCUAUCUAACGAACCCAGUAUUUUCUCAUGGCCAAUCAUAUGUUAUCAUUUCUAGAGUGAAAAACAGGUCUGGUAUGAAGAUAUUAAUAUUCAACGAA